UAGAUUGAAGCCAGUUAAUUAAGGUGNNNAGCUGUUAACUAAAGUUUCGUGGGGGUAGGGCCCACCAGUCUAG
RNAcentral lists this transfer RNA (73 nucleotides) under Bison bonasus (European bison). RNAcentral describes it as "tRNA-Asn". The record is from RNAcentral. Lineage: Eukaryota; Metazoa; Chordata; Mammalia; Artiodactyla; Bovidae.